GAAGUCCGCCUGCGGUUGUAAAUGCACUGCUGUUUGAAGCUGGCGCCAGAGGUGGCGGGAAGCUACAGCUGCGCGCCCAUUGGGCCGCCUUGUUUCCUGUUUCCCUGCGGUGGAGACGCACGCUCACCAGCUGUCACUCACCGUGCACGCGGCUGUCCUCGGUGUCCUCUGGAAGGCGUACGUUAACCCGCCCUGACAGCGCCUGCCAGCCCAGUGGACGCACAGCAGCAGGUCCAACCAUCCUAUAACCCUUUCCCCCGUGCCCUGUCACGCAGCUCCCCAUCUGGCCGGUCUAACUUUGCCUCCCACCGCCGCACCCCAUGAUGCCUACCCUGCGCCCUAACCAGGCCCUUAAUCCAGGGGAACGGAGUGAAUGAAACCACAGGCUGCCGAGAGGCCCGGGAACUUUCUCUCCCAGGCAUGGCCCUCCCGACCUCACCUCUCCACCUGCUCAGGCUUCCGAGGAGCACACCCUUCCUCCGCAGUCUUCCCUCGCACACUCCACCUCCUUGGAAGACACAAUCCUCCCUGCCUCCGUACAGUGUCCGUCCUGGUAUGGGAUGGGAGGGCCAAUGUGCCUGUCACGGUAGUUACUGCACAUGCACCCCACUCAGUAGACAGAGGGAACAUCUCCAAGAGGCUUCCUUACUCUGCUUCUUAGCCAGCUCCUGCCUAGCAUGCCUUGUUCCCUGGGAGGCACUCAAAGCAAUUGUGAGAAACUGUGCUAAAUGAGUAAAUGAAUGAAGGAACAAAUAAAUGAAGACUACUGGGGCCAGGAAAAGCAAAUGAAAGGAUUCAAGUAAAUGGCACUCAUUGAACCUGAGGGAAGGAUCUGUUAGUGAGAACUAGCCUCAGGCAAUCUCCAUAACCACAGCAGUCCCUCAGCAAACUGAGUCCAGGGUCCACUUGUGCAGAGGACUGUGAAGAGUGCUGCAAUGAGAACACUAACUGACGCUGGCCACAAGCAACUGCUUCUCAGAAAGAUCAAAGCAGAGAAUCCCUUCCUAGUGCAGCACAGUUUGGCCCUGCCAACACCCACCCGGUGGCCUCCUGCUCUCCCAGCCUCUGCGCCGGGCCCAGCCUGGGACUGACUGCCUCACCUGGCCGCCUGCCCUCAGCUCAGCCUCGGAUGGCCGCUCACACCUGUGUCCUGCAUGGGCCCCUGCUGUCCUGGACACUGAACCUUGGACACCCGCACCGCAGGAGUGACCUGGCCUCUCAUUUCCCCCACGGAAUGUUCCAGGUUUGACCUGUGUCUGGGCUGUGCACCCCACAAGCCCCGCUCUGUCCCAGCCGCCACCUCAUGCCUGCCACACGAGGUGUGGAUGAUGUGUUGGCUUCGAGGCUGAGGGAGUGCACUUAGGGUGUGAGCUCCAGGAAGGGCUGCUCUGCUGCCGGCUGAAAACAGCUCUGGGCCCUCCUCUGACCCCCAGCCCAAGAAGGAGAAGGGCCGGCCUCAUCCUGGAUGCCACACUGAGGCACACAGUGCUAUGAGUCCUGGGCAUCAGUGUAGAAGCCCGAGAGGAUCCCCGGUAGAGAAGCCCAGCAGGAAGACUGCAGCUCGCUGCUACCCCUCUGAGCUCCCUCGCUGUGGGGGGCUCUUUUCUGUCCCCCUCCACAGGUGGGACAUCCCGAGGAGAGGGCUCCAUAGGAUGCCACGUUUAUUUGCGUAUUUUGCAACAUAUUACAGUUUCCACUUGCCGAGUUAAAUGCAUCUGUGAGUUAUGUCACCUACUUUAGGCCUCUCGCUGUCACAAACAUAACGCAGUAGGAAGAUCACUGCCAAGAAGUCAAGGACUAAACAGAGGCCUUUUGCUCUCAGUACCAGCUUCUCCUCUGCUGCAUUAUUGUAACUGAGAGGUUCAAAGCAUCUUUCAAACCUGGAUUUGUUUUUUUGAUUUUGGGGGGGGUUUUGGUACCGGGGAUGGAACUUGGGUCCUUGCGCUUUCGAGGCAGGUGGUGGCACCACUGAGCUAAAUCCCUGGCCCUUUUUUUGUUUUUUUUAAAGAGAGACUGUUUCUCCCAGCCCGCACCCCCACCCCAGGUGUGAACAGCCACGCCCAGGCCGGACUACAGGAGGAUGAGGAAUUUUGGCCCUGGGAAUGUCCCAGGCACACCUGCAGCUCUUGCACCACCUCUCUGGGAACCACAGCACUUCUGGGCAGCCCACAGAGGGUGGACCAGCUGUCCUCUCCUCCAGCCACGUCGUAAACACCCUCAUUUUCCCACUUCCCUGGGCCUCUCUGAACUUGGUUUCAGGCAGGCCGAGGAAGUCAGUAACCCAGACAGCCAGGCCGGGGCAGGCCUGACGGAGCCCUCUCCGGGAACACGACGGAGUUACAAACAAGCACGAGCUCAUCAGAUGCAAACUUUGCCUCCCAAAGUUAUAAUUUCCAAGACUGAAAAUGUAGAUUUAUGUUUCUCUUCCUUAUCAGUAAAUACACCGGGACUUGAGAUGUUAUCUCACGAUAGCAUCAGGUAUUCUGAUUAGUAAGACUUUUAAAAGUGUUUAUCUCAACUCCAACUUUAAAUUUUCCAUACUUAUAACAGAUGUACGAUCGAAUAAUCAUUAUUUAGAGUACCUGCUCAUAAACAUUUACUGAAAGGGGAAUAUGACCAAAAGUGCUUCCACGGGGCUGAGUUCUCCUUCCACACAACUCUUUAACAGCUAAAUCCUGGAGGCAGCCCAUGUGUCCAUCAGCACGGACACAGAAUAUCAGAAUGUAUAAAGAAAAUGUACCAUUUAACACAAUGGAGCACUACUCUGCCAUAAAGAAGGAUAAACUUGAGUUAUAUGUAGGAAAAUGGAUGCAAUUUGAGACCAUAAUGUCAAGUGAAGCAGAUCAGAUGCACAAGCUU
This is a non-coding RNA of Heterocephalus glaber (naked mole-rat), 2859 nucleotides long. Lineage: Eukaryota; Metazoa; Chordata; Mammalia; Rodentia; Bathyergidae. The record is from RefSeq and is a predicted model, not a curated record.